RNAcentral lists this ribosomal RNA (301 nucleotides) under uncultured bacterium. RNAcentral's name for it is "partial 16S ribosomal RNA". It matches the Rfam family "Bacterial small subunit ribosomal RNA", at positions 509 to 807 of the family's 1533-position model. The record is from RNAcentral.
CAGCCGCCGCGGUAAUACGAAGGGUGCAAGCGUUAAUCGGAAUUACUGGGCGUAAAGCGUGCGUAGGCGGUGAGUUAAGUCUGCUGUGAAAUCCCCGGGCUCAACCUGGGAAUGGCAGUGGAUACUGGCUCGCUAGAGUGUGUCAGAGGAUGGUGGAAUUCCCGGUGUAGCGGUGAAAUGCGUAGAGAUCGGGGGGAACAUCAGUGGCGAAGGCGGCCAUCUGGGACAACACUGACGCUGAGGCACGAAAGCGUGGGGAGCAAACAGGAUUAGAUACCCCUGUAGUCCCUGUCUCUUAUAC